GACGAACGCUGGCGGCGUGCCUAAUACAUGCAAGUAGAACGCUGAAGAGAGGAGCUUGCUCUUCUUGGAUGAGUUGCGAACGGGUGAGUAACGCGUAGGUAACCUGCCUUGUAGCGGGGGAUAACUAUUGGAAACGAUAGCUAAUACCGCAUAACAAUGGAUGACACAUGUCAUUUAUUUGAAAGGGGCAAUUGCUCCACUACAAGAUGGACCUGCGUUGUAUUAGCUAGUAGGUGAGGUAAUGGCUCACCUAGGCGACGAUACAUAGCCGACCUGAGAGGGUGAACGGCCACACUGGGACUGAGACACGGCCCAGACUCCUACGGGAGGCAGCAGUAGGGAAUCUUCGGCAAUGGGGGCAACCCUGACCGAGCAACGCCGCGUGAGCGAAGAAGGUUUUCGGAUCGUAAAGCUCUGUUGUAAGUCAAGAACGGGUGUGAGAGUGGAAAGUUCACACUGUGACGGUAGCUUACCAGAAAGGGACGGCUAACUACGUG
This 497-nucleotide ribosomal RNA is filed under the name uncultured bacterium. Its description in RNAcentral is "partial 16S ribosomal RNA". It matches the Rfam family "Bacterial small subunit ribosomal RNA", at positions 28 to 507 of the family's 1533-position model. The record is from RNAcentral.